GGAGAGUUGGCAGAGUCAGGUAUUGCACCGGCUUGCUAAGCCGUGGUCGGGCCGGAAGGCCUGCGGGGGUUCAAAUCCCUCACUCUCCGCCA
This 92-nucleotide transfer RNA is filed under the name Terriglobia bacterium. RNAcentral describes it as "tRNA-Ser". It matches the Rfam family "tRNA". From Rfam's summary of the family: Transfer RNA (tRNA) molecules are approximately 80 nucleotides in length. Their secondary structure includes four short double-helical elements and three loops (D, anti-codon, and T loops). The record is from RNAcentral. Lineage: Bacteria; Pseudomonadati; Acidobacteriota; Terriglobia.